RNAcentral lists this ribosomal RNA (483 nucleotides) under uncultured bacterium. RNAcentral's name for it is "partial 16S ribosomal RNA". It matches the Rfam family "Bacterial small subunit ribosomal RNA", at positions 30 to 506 of the family's 1533-position model. The record is from RNAcentral.
AUUGAACGCUGGCGGCAGGCCUAACACAUGCAAGUCGAGCGGAUGAAGGGAGCUUGCUCCUGGAUUCAGCGGCGGACGGGUGAGUAAUGCCUAGGAAUCUGCCUGGUAGUGGGGGAUAACGUCCGGAAACGGGCGCUAAUACCGCAUACGUCCUGAGGGAGAAAGUGGGGGAUCUUCGGACCUCACGCUAUCAGAUGAGCCUAGGUCGGAUUAGCUAGUUGUUGGGGUAAAGGCCUACCAAGGCGACGAUCCGUAACUGGUCUGAGAGGAUGAUCAGUCACACUGGAAUUGAGACACGGUCCAGACUCCUACGGGAGGCAGCAGUGGGUAAUAUUGGACAAUGGGCGAAAGCCUGAUCCAGCCAUGCCGCGUGUGUGAAGAAGGUCUUCGGAUUGUAAAGCACUUUAAGUGGGGAGGAAGGGCAGUAAGUUAAUACCUUGCUGUUUUGACGUUACCAAUAGAGUAAGCACCGGCUAACUGCGU